Molecule: long non-coding RNA, 4460 nt
Filed under: Heterocephalus glaber (naked mole-rat)
Lineage: Eukaryota; Metazoa; Chordata; Mammalia; Rodentia; Bathyergidae
Description: lncRNA (ENSHGLG00100041308.1)
Source: RNAcentral
AGUGUCUGGGUCAUUUCCACAUGCUUUAUUCCAGCAAUCAAAAUAAUUAAAAACAUCUCAAAUUAUUAUUAUACACAUACAAAAUAGGUACAGAGUCUCUUGCUUCCUCCCACCCUGGGGCAAAAACUGCUUUGUGCUUUGGGAAGCUGUUAUCUGAAAACCACGGAGUACAGAGGUGCAGGAGGGAGGGCUUCAGAGGAGAAGUCAGAGAGGCAGGGUGGGGAGAGGGAGGAGAGGGGCAGGCUGGAGCCAGCCCUUUCCCCCACAUUAAAUAGCACCGUUAGAAAAAAAAUUCACGAGUCCCCAUCUGCAAGGAAGACCGAAAAGAAGGAAAGAAAGAGCUGAAGAGCAGAAGACUUUGAACAAAAAGGAACAUUUGUUGGCCUGGGGGCACCCCAACUUUUUUAGCACCAGAAAUUCCUCCUCCACCCCCCCCACAUUGAUGUAGCACCUUUGGUAUCAAAUGGGGUGGUCGCUGCCCCCGCCCUCACAGUCGCUGGUGACACACAAGACAAGAACGAGGUAGUCAGUCUUUAGCAACACAGUUACACAAGGAACAGAACAUCUCUCCCACCCAGCCGGGCGCACAAGGGGCUCCAGGCGCCUCCCCAAGUCCGACGUCUCUGCUCUGCGGUGCCGUGGCCCUGCCCCUCUCUCGAGACCCCCGGGAAGGGCCCUCUCAAAAACAAAGUGGGGUGUGUUGCAGAGGCCUUGGGGAUGCCAGAUGGGUGGGCUCCUUUGGCAGUCUGGGAACCCCGGAUCUCCCCAGCACUGGGUGUAUCAGGCAGCCGGAGUGGGCUGGGAGUUGGAGGCCACUUAGAUGUUUCAGCAUUGCCUUUGGUUGCUGAGCAGACAAUGCACUGUUUCUUGUGCCUUUGCGGGCGACUUGGAUUUGGGGAACAGUGGAAGAGAGGCCCCAAGAAGGGGUGGAAAAAAGAGCAGAAAGGGCAGCAUUGGGGUAUCAUAAGCCCAACGGGCAGAAAAAGACUUACCCCCACAGGGUCUUCAAGCAAGUGGACCAAGCUUCCUUUUUUAAAAACUUAUUUAUUUAUUCUUUUUUUUUUUUCCCGUAAGGUUCAAUGCAUUUUUGGUUUUUGGUCAUGUUCAGUUGGUCAAAGAAAAAAAAACUAAGUUCGAGAGAUGAAUGUAAAGGAAAAAAAAAAUGUUUUCCAAAGUCCAUGUGAAAUUGUCUCCCAUUUUUUUGGCUUUUGGGGGAUUCAGUUUGGGUUGUUUUUCUGUUUCCGGGAAGGGGAGUGGGCUGGGUGGGAGGGAGCCAGGGUGGAGUGGAGGGGGUUUACACGAAGCAGACAGGGCUAACGUCAAAGCCGAAUUCCUGGUCUGGGGAGCCAAUGUCCAAGGGGGCCACGUCGAUGAUGGGGAGGCGGGAGGUCUUGGUGGUUCUGUAUUCGAUGACUGUCUUGCCCCAGGCUCCUGUGUGACUCUGGGGUAAGGGAGGCAAGGGACGGGUCAUUACCAAGGGCAGAGAUGGAGCCAGCAAGCCGGGUCACCCUGAGAGCCAAAACCUAGAGCCAAGGGUCCCGGGGACUCACCGUGCAGCCGUCCUCCAGGGCCACGUAAGUGAAGCGGCUGUUGCCCUCGCCCCGGAGCUCGAUGUCAUUGGAGCCCUGGAGGAGCAGAGACUUCUUGAGGUUUCCGGUCUGCUGAUCCAGGUAGGCCACGCUGUUCUUGCAGUGGUAGGUGAUGUUCUGGGAGGCCUCGGUGGACAUCAGGCGCAGGAAGGUCAGCUGGAUGGCCACGUCAGCAGGUUCGGAGUCUGGGCUGCCAUACUUGAACUGCAGGGGAGGUGACAGAGCCGGGGUGAGUGAAACUUCGGGGCCUCUGCCCUGGCCUCCGUCCUCAAGUCCGCUGACAGCACUGUGCCCGGCUAACUCAGCUCAAGAGAGCUCUCGCUGCCCAUGGGCACCUGCGUCUGAGCCGGCAGCAAGGACCCAGGCUCCCUCCCCAGCCUGGCUCUGUCCCUCCUGGGCACUGGGCUAGCAUCUCCCAAACAUGGGCCUAGGGUCCAGCUCAUGCACCUGGAAUCCACCGUCCAUGCUCUCGCCGAACCAGACGUGGUUCCUCUCCUUGAGGUUCUUGCUGAUGUACCAGGCCUUCAGAGCCACGGUGGGCUGAACUGGGUACACGCAGCUCUCUCCCCGUCUCCAUGUUGCAGAACACCUUGAUGGCGUCCAGGUUGCAGCCUUGGUUGGGGCUCGAUCCAGUACUCUCCUGUGGCGGGGCAGGACGAGGGGAGUCAGGGGAGCAGGAGAGGUAGCCCCUGAGAGCGCAGGGAGGCCGGCACGGCAGGAGGAGGAGGAGGAAGGGGCAGCCAGGGCAGGCCCUCACCGCCUCUUCCAGUCGGGGUGGCACAUCUUGAGGUCACGGCAGGUGCGGGCGGGGUUCUUGCGGGUGCCUUCAGGGCUGCGGAUGUUCUCGAUCUGCUGGCUCAGGGUCUUGAGUGUGGUGUCCACCUCGAGGUCACGGUCACGGACCACGUUGGCGUCAUCAGCCCGGUAGUAGCGGCCAUCGCCAGCCUUCUCCUGAGAUGGCUGGGGCAGGAAGCUUAAGUCGUAACCGCCGCUGGGGAGGACCAGGGGGACCAGGGGGGUCCAGGAGGGCCGGCGGGACCCUGUGCAGAAAGGGAGGAGAUCGGGGGUUACCAGUGUCCGAGCGAGGCCUCUUGGGGCUGGAGGGACAUGAGGCGAAGGGGUGGGGCUACGACAACAGGACCAGCAUCACCAGUGCGACCCCGAGGACCAGGGGGGACCGAUGGGGCCAGGCAGGCCAUUGAGCCCCAUCCUUGCCGGGAGAACCAGCAGACCCGGGAGGACCCUGGAGGAGAGACGGAGGGAGAAAUCCUCCUGGAAACGCAUCCCAAUUCCAACGGAGACACCCAUCGCCUUGCCUGCCGGACCAGGCACUGGACAAGACUGUCCAGGAGCCUUCUCUUCCUGGGUCCUCGGGGAAGGUCCCCAAGGCAAGCCUGGCCGGGGACCUGGGAAGACCCAACUUACUCGGGGACCAGCAGGACCAGAAGCUCCAGAAGGACCUUGUUCACCAGGAGAGCCCUGACGCACAGAGACAAAGACAGUUCAGGCCCAGUGCGGGUCCAGUGCAGGCUUGGGACAGGGCAGGGGACCCAGAGGGCAGGGUGGGCAGCCCACCCCUCUCCCUACUGGGGAAAUCUUGCCCCAGCCUCCUCAUAGGCUGAGCCUCUCUUCCAAUCCUCUCUCAGAAGCUACUCGGAAAUGGCCAUAAACCUUUAGUCCCCAGUCCCCAUGACGGAGGAUCCAGAGUGGCUCUUCAGAGGGGAAACUGAGGCAGGUGUCUACUGUCCACCGCCCCCGCCCCCACCGUCACCCAGCACAGCAUGGGGAGAUGACAAAGAAGGUGCAGUGGCAGAGGACCUGAGAGCCCGAGCAUACUCACAGGAGGACCGGGGGACCCUGGAGACCAGAGAAGCCGCGUGUGACCCUUGAUGCCUCUGUCACCCUGUUCGCCUGUCUCACCCUUGUCACCACGGGGGCCUUGGGGUCCCUGGAAGAGAGUGGGGACAGGCUGUCAGGUGGAAGCCCCUUUGGGACUGAGUGGGAGUGUGAUCCACACCGGGUGAGGGUUUUGAGGUCAGGGGUUGGUGUGGGCCACUUACAGCAGGGCCACGGGCACCAGCAGGGCCGAUGGGACCAGCAGGACCAGCAGGACCCUGGGGAGAGCAGAGAGAGUAGUUGACCCUGGCCGAGGCAGCCCACCGUGUCCAUGUCCCCCCAUGUGGCCGCUUCUCCUGACCCCCUAUAAACUUCCCACGGGGCCGGUUCCUGUCACCAGGGAGAGGGGCCUUGGAUGAGGGUCCUGAGGCCGAGCUCUGAUUUUCCAAGGAGGCCGAGGAUGCAGAUGUCCCACAAACUUCUGCUCUCUCCUCUCCCUGCCUGGCCGAUGUCGCCAUCUGUCCCCAGAAUCCCUGGCCUGAGCCGAGCCCGCCCACUUACAGUCUCACCACGAUCGCUCACUCUUGCCAGCAGGGCCGACCGGGGCCAGGGGCGCCAGGGGCACCAGGAGCACCAGGGGGUCCAGCAGGGCCGGUUUCCCCACCACGCUCACCCUGGGGGGCAAGGGCAGGGACAAUGGGUCAGCACCCGAGGACGGCCCAGGCUGGGGUGGGCACGUGGGGCUGGUAGUGCUGCAGUGCUGGGGUCCAGCCCUCUUACCUUGGGGCCGGAGAGCCGUCUCGUCCGGGGAGAGCCUUCAGCACCGGGGGAGCCCUGCAGAGGGAAGAGCGGCUCACAGAGAGGGGACUCUCAGACAGGCCCUGUGGCCUUGCUGUGGGCAUGCACUCUAGGCCUGGGGUCUGAGGACUGCUCACCUCUCGUCCAGAUUCACCAGGGGGUCCAGCCAGACCAGGGGGGCCCAUGGGGCCGGGGGGACCACCUUCACCGGGGCGCCCAGCGGGGCCAGGCUCACCG